AUUGAACGCUGGCGGCAGGCCUAACACAUGCAAGUCGAACGAAUGGCUGACGGGUGAGUAAUGUCUGGGAAACUGCCUGAUGGAGGGGGAUAACUACUGGAAACGGUAGCUAAUACCGCAUACCAUCGGAUGUGCCCAGAUGGGAUUAGCUCGUAGGUGGGGUAAAGGCUCACCUAGGCGACGCGCCCUAGCUGGUCUGAGAGGCUGACCAGCCACACUGGAACGAGGACACGGUCAGACUCCGACGGGAGGCAGCAGUGGGGAAUAUUGCACAAUGGGCGCAAGCCUGAUGCAGCCAUGCGGCGUGUAUGAAGAAGGCCUUCGGGUUGGAAAGUACUUUCAGUGGGGAUGCGUUACCCGCAGAAGAAGCACCGGCUAACUCCGUGCCAGCAGCCGCGGUAAUUC
RNAcentral lists this ribosomal RNA (405 nucleotides) under uncultured bacterium. Its description in RNAcentral is "partial 16S ribosomal RNA". It matches the Rfam family "Bacterial small subunit ribosomal RNA", at positions 30 to 526 of the family's 1533-position model. The record is from RNAcentral.